UUCCAUCGCCAAGAAACCUCAAUUCUCAGUCUAAGAGAGUGGUGACAGUUGGCCACUUCCAGACCAUCUUCUGGUGGCCAGAGUCUUAUUUUUGUGUAGGUUAGGUAAGACUUUCUUAUAAUUAUAGCAGUUGGGUUUUCUCCCUUUGUUAUUAGUCUUUUUUGUUGACAAACACACUUAGGGUACACAUCAUACCAUAAUAUGGAAUACAUAUUGUUUUGAUAUCUGUAUACAUUGCAAAAUGGCUAAAACAAACCAAUUAAUGAAUGCAUUACCUCAGACACCAUUUUUUUGGGUAAUGGUACUACUCACUUAGCAAUUUUCAGGUCACAAUGCAUUGCUAUUUACUGUGGUCAUAAUGUUGUACAAUUUACAGGUGUGUGUGUGUGUGUGUAUUAAAUUUUGCCAUAAGAAUUCCUUUUCCACUAUUAUGGAACCCCAAAAGAUGAAACAUAUUAAAGAAUUGCUGCUAAUGUAGGGCAGCUAAUGCCCUGGCAGCUUGGCUCCCCUUUGCUGGGCUCACAGGAAUCCAUUCUGUCUCUGCUACAUAGCCCUCCCUACUAUGUGCUUGCUUGAAGCCAAUGGACCACCAGAGUCCCCUUUACAAAUCCAGUCUCCUGAAUAUCUCUUCACAUCUACCAAAUCAGCAAGUACCUCCAAGGGUGGGUGACAGCAGAGGAGAUCAUCUGCUUUGUAUUUAUCAUCGUCCACUUUUAUUUUGUGGACACCUUCAUUGUUCCAUGGAUGACAAACAGGAAAAUUUUGUUCCUGUUGUCCAAGAGGACAUUUUAGUGGAGUCUACCUUGGGUAAAAUUCUCAGUACCUGUCUCUUUCACUCAGUGACCAAGAUGGACCAAAAUCUCAGACCCAAGUAAAAAAUGUACAGAAUUUCCUACCAGGUGAAUAAAUACCUAGUAGAACCAGUGGUGUCAGAAGACCAGGGUCUGAGCACCUAUCCCCUCAGCCUUAAAAACUCAAGUGACGGAGAUUUCUCAGAAGCAGAUUGGUGUGGUGACAAAGACAUAGUUUCUGGAGUCUGGCAAACUAGGACAUACCUAGUUCAACUUCAGGUGUCUGUUUCCCCAUCUGUUUGUGGGAAUAUUAAGGUUCUUGAUGAGCUGCUUGGGAAGAUAAUGAGAAAUCAUAAAGCUUAAGAAGGUGCCUGGCACUUGGUGAACUCUUGGAAAAUGCUUGCUGUUCCCCCCAAUAAGUAUGGAAUUUAAAUUCCAAAAGUUCCCCUUAGCAAGAGAGGAAGCUACGAAUGGAGGAUCAGAUAGUUAACUCUCCAUGAUCCUAAGGAAAAGUGGAGAUGAAGCCGGAGAAGCAUGGGGUAUGGGGUGGGGGGAGGAAAAGAAUCAUGAAUAUUCACAUUUAUUAGGUUUUAAUCAUGUUCCAGUGACUAGACUAGAAUCUGAUUUCAUUACCUCAUUUAAUCCUCACAAAACUCCAUCAGAAAGGUACUGUUACCAUUCUUACUUUGCAGAUGAGGAAGCCGAGCCUCAUAAACUUGAUAAGGUAACUUGGCAAAGCCACUCAGUGAAGCAAGUAGCUGGAGCUCAGACCCAUCCAUGUCACUCCAAAACAAGAUCUCUUAACCACAGCCCUCUCCAGAGAAGUGAAGCUUAGCAGUCUGCUGAGAUCUGGAUUUUAAAUAUCUUCUCUAGACAUGAAAAGUCAAGAUCAGUUCUAGAAGACCACUGGAAAUGAGAGUAUCCCUGAGAAGAGUGAAAAUGAAAGGUUGAAGUGAGUAUGAGAUACACGAAUAGGUCUAGCUAUUCAGAGGCCAGUCUUCAGCACCUUCCCGUCAAUACCAAAUAUUUUAAAAGCUAAAUGUUCAGAAUAAAAAUUGAGGGGAAACCCACUGGAAAAGCUGUGACUUGUUCACGUCUGGGAAGUCAUGUGGCUCUUUUGAAAUAAAGGUCACUCUGCCACUCGACAAGCUUAGUGACACUGGGCAGGCUAAAUACCCCAUGAGAAGUCCUUAGACAUCUGGAUCCAGAAAUACAGGAACAGAGCAGAGAACCGCAGUAUUGAGGAGAGCAUGAAAUAUGGGUGUUGAGAGCCGAGGUGAAGCCUAAUUGGGGCUGGGGGUCACUAUCACUUUCUCCAUUCUCAUUCUUCAUAAGCAAUUUAGAAUGUCUCAGAGUUACCGACCAGACUGCUGUCCCUAAAUGCCUUCCAGAUAGAAAUUAGGUAUUCUGGACCCACCCAUGCCCUUGGAGAGAAAGAAAGCAUCUAGAAACCUCCUGAAAGUGAUAUCAGAGAGGUGACAAGCACAUCCACUGGAACUAUGCAAAAACUCAUUUGCAUAAAUAAGUUAUCUAUUCAGUCCAUUCAAAACAUGCACCUGCACAUCGGUGGAAUGUUAUGAAAGAAAGCCUUUGGAAUUAUUUCUGAACAAUUUCGUAUUUGGGGAAUAUCUAAGUGAAAUCUCCCUACUUCUAGGACAGCAUAUCUCUGAUUUUUCUCCCCACUCCUAUUCUGAGCAACCACAUGUCAGUUCAGGGUUUGAAAUUAGUCAGUCUCUCUUUCUGGACAAGGACAGUCUAUCACAUUGUCCUAUUUUGAGACUCAGUUUCUUUUAUGACAAUGCCCCAGGAAAGUUUUAUGAGAGUCCUGAUUUAAGGUUGGAGGUUAAUCGCUCUGAAAUUCUGAGAACCAAAAAAUAUUGUGUAGGUGGGUGUACAGUAAAACUGAAAACAGGAAGUCUCCCGUACACUGAACCCAAAUCUGCAUCAUCAGUACAUCUGAAAACUUCUCUUGGGAGGAGAGUCCUGCUGUGCAUGGGACCAGCCACCCUCUGCUCACUUCCUUGUGAUGGAGGCCUUUGAGCUCUGGGGAAGAAUGGAAUAAGAAGGGCCAGGGGCAGAAGUCACCAUGACCGGGUGAGUGUGAAAGAAAGCCAUGUCUCGCUUGCUGUGGACUCUCUCCGUCAACACCAAAACACUUCCAAGUCGACUCCAGGUUUACAGUCCUCAAAUUCAUCAGUCCGUGGUUCUCUGGGAGUUGCCAGGACCACCAGGGCAGAAAAUCUCAGGGAGUUCAAUCUGGGAUCUCACAAUUGUGAGUAGGGGAGCAGAGCGCUUGACAAAUACCUGGUUUUUGCUAAUCCAUUUUUUUCCCCAGCUUGGCAGGUCACCUUAACUUGAGGACUGAAUGCACAGCUGGGAAAAUAUGCUUCUUAUUAGGGAUCGGGCCAGUGCUCUGUGAACUUGAGCCUUGGCUGGGGGUAACAUUCUUUGAACAACCAGGUAAGACGAGCCUAGAAAGCCACAGCACCUUGCCAAGUAGAGACGUUAAUACCAAGCACCAAGACCCCAAGGGGUCACCACACAGCCCACUUGGAGGAGACCCACUCAUUCCUCUACGAUCUCUCUCCCUGCCUUAGAGUUGUUGGCAGCAAACACUGGGCAGAGGGCAGAGGUGCUGGGAAAGAGGAUAAAGUAAGAAGGAGAAGGAAAGAGGAGAGACAGAGAAAUUGCCGUGUGGUUUAUCUGGAUGAUCAGAGAGAAAUUUUCAAAUGCCCCCCAAAACUCACCUUGGUAAAAUGUCUUAACAUGUUAGACACAAUUGUACCCAAAUUUUAUACACUCAUACCCCAUUCUGUAUUUUCUCAGGCUUGUGAAUUUUUGAAAAAGUUGGGGCAAUGGGGAAAAUGUUAGUCAAAGUGUACAAAAUUUCAGUUAGGAGAAUUACAUUGGUAGUGAGAGAUUGCAUGUAGUAAUUAACUACAACCAAUAAUAAUGAAUUGUGUAUUUCAAAAUUGCUGAAAUGAUAGAGUUUAAAUGUUUCCAUGACAUAUAAGUAUGUGAAGUCAUGUAUAUAUUAAUGACUUAAUCAUCCCACAUAGAGUGAGAAUAUUAAAACACCAUACUUUCCCUACAAGCAUAUAGAACUAUUAUUUCUCAUUUAAAAAAUAAAGUUAAAUUAAGACAUAAUAAGAUAUCCCUCCAUGCUCAUCAGGUGGGUUUGUUUGUGUAUAUAAAAAUAAAAUAAUAAUUUAAAAAACCAGAAAAUAACAAGUGUUGGUGAGGAUGUAGCAGAAUAUGUGGAGAAAUGGGAAACCUGUGUACUGCUGCUGAGAUUGUAAAAUGGAGAGGCUAUGGAAAACAGUAGAGCAAUUCCUCAAAACAUAAAAGUGGAAUUGCCACGUGAUACAGGUUCUACUUCUGAGUAUAUACCCAAAAUCUGUGAAAUAAGGGACUCAAAUAGAUAUUUGUACAUCCAGAAUCAUAGCAGAUUAUUCACAAUAGCCAAAAGGCAGAACCAACUCAAGUAUCCAUAGAUAGGUGAAUUGAUAAACAAAAUGUGGGAGAUAUAUAUUAUAGUUUGGGAAAAGGUAUUUGCAAACCGUUCAACUGAUAAAGGGCUAAUAUCCAAAAUAUAUAUUUAAAAACUCCUUAAUACAUUAUAUAUUAUAUAUAUCGUUCUUCCCUUUAAAAAAGAGAAAUUGUGACAUAUGCCACAAAAUGUUAAACCUUGAAGUUAUCCUAAGUGAAAUAAGAACAAAUGUGGUAUAAUUUCAUUUAAGAGUACCUAGAAGAAUCAAGUGCACAGAGAGAGGGAAUAUGGAUACAGGGGAGGGGAGGUGGACAGAAGUGUUUGGGAGUGACAUUGGCC
Molecule: long non-coding RNA, 4620 nt
Filed under: Marmota monax (woodchuck)
Lineage: Eukaryota; Metazoa; Chordata; Mammalia; Rodentia; Sciuridae
Source: RNAcentral